RNAcentral lists this long non-coding RNA (261 nucleotides) under Calidris pugnax (ruff). RNAcentral's name for it is "lncRNA (ENSCPUG00000017836.1)". The record is from RNAcentral. Lineage: Eukaryota; Metazoa; Chordata; Aves; Charadriiformes; Scolopacidae.
GGAUCAUCCCAACAGAGCUGGAUCAGCAAAGCUUGGCUUCAGGAGACAAAAAUAGGAUUUGUGGGUUACCAGAAGCUGUUUGAGUUCUAGCUAUUCCUAGGAAGAGGACUUCAGCUGUCUCAAUUCUAUACCUGCAGAGUCCCUCCGUGUCACAGGUCAGGCAGAGUCCUGCUGCUCGUCCUGAACAAAAGGGCUGUGUUUAGGAAGUGGGAGCUCUCAAACAGCCAGUCUGGCUGCGGGAGCUGGGAGCGCUGCCGGCGG